Molecule: ribosomal RNA, 432 nt
Filed under: Pagrus major (red seabream)
Lineage: Eukaryota; Metazoa; Chordata; Actinopteri; Spariformes; Sparidae
Description: partial 16S ribosomal RNA
Rfam family: Bacterial large subunit ribosomal RNA
Source: RNAcentral
UGGCAUCACGAGGGCUUAACUGUCUCCCCUCCCCAGUCAAUGAAAUUGAUCUCCCCGUGCAGAAGCGGGGAUAAUACCAUAAGACGAGAAGACCCUAUGGAGCUUUAGACGUCAGAGCAGCCCAUGUAAAGCACCCCUUAACAAAGGAAAAAACCAAAUGAAGCCUGCCCUAAUGUCUUUGGUUGGGGCGACCGCGGGGAAAUACAAAACCCCCAUGUGGAGUAGGAAUACACAUUCCUAAACCCAAGAGCUCCCGCUCUAAUGAACAGAAAUUCUGACCAAUAAGAUCCGGCACACGCCGAUCAACGGACCGAGUUACCCUAGGGAUAACAGCGCAAUCCCCUUAAAGAGCCCUUAUCGACAAGGGGGUUUACGACCUCGAUGUUGGAUCAGGACAUCCUAAUGGUGCAGCCGCUAUUAAGGGUUCGUUUG